AUUCCUCCAUGGGUGGGGAUUUGUUGCAUUACUUGUAGCUAUGUUUAGAGUAUUGCACUUGUCCCGGCCUGUGGAGGGAAG
This is a non-coding RNA of Ornithorhynchus anatinus (platypus), 81 nucleotides long. The record is from Rfam. NCBI's taxonomy places the organism in Eukaryota, Metazoa, Chordata, Mammalia, Monotremata, Ornithorhynchidae.